CUCUCAUAUGGAGUCUCCUGAAGCUUCGGUCAAAAUAAAAAUCCUAAUCCUGAAGAUGUAACGAGCAAUUUGGUAAAAUAAAUUUGUCGUAAUCUUUUACGGUUGCGAAGGAGUAGUGGCCACAAGAAAAACAGUGUUUGGGGAGAUAACUCUUACAACGUAAAGUAUUUUGUUACGCAGUUGUCAGUUUUUAAAGCGUAAUAACUAUACGAUAUCAUAUUCCAAAUAUCUAAGCGACAUCUUUUGAAACAUCAAUACUACGCAAGAAAAAAAUUAGGCGGGAAAAAAAAAAAAAAAAAAAUAAUAAUUAAAAACCAAUUGUUCAGAGAACAAUUGAAGGUCUUUCCACUAGUAAAGAUCUAUUUUGAUAUUGAAAUAUGAAAAAUCAGUUUAAAAUGUUAGUUCCUAUGGCUUUAUGAUGUAUUUAUAUGAAUUUAAAGCAAAGGUCAAAAUCUAGAACGUCCUAUUAACCUAUGACCUUGACCUCAAUUUCAAGGUCACAAACCAAGGACCUUAAAUCAAAAGACCCUAGGUCUUUAAUAUGUUUGGUUAAUGAGUAAUACCACUUUACGCGUAAUUCUAAAUGUAAGAUGGACAAAAACUCCCAUUUAUUGUAUGCGCACCCUUUCAACCAAAAUAUACAAGUAAGGACAUGUCGCAACUAACAAUUUAUGAAAAAUUAUUUGUCGAUAUGUCAUACGGUAUUUGAAAAUAAGUGAAAAUAAGCCAAAAUCAAAAUUUAGAAUAUGACCUUGACCUUUGACCUUGACCUUAUUU
Molecule: long non-coding RNA, 777 nt
Filed under: Mytilus galloprovincialis (Mediterranean mussel)
Lineage: Eukaryota; Metazoa; Mollusca; Bivalvia; Mytilida; Mytilidae
Source: RNAcentral